RNAcentral lists this ribosomal RNA (253 nucleotides) under uncultured bacterium. Its description in RNAcentral is "partial 16S ribosomal RNA". It matches the Rfam family "Bacterial small subunit ribosomal RNA", at positions 524 to 776 of the family's 1533-position model. The record is from RNAcentral.
UACGGAGGGUGCAAGCGUUGUUCGGAAUUACUGGGCGUAAAGGGCCCGUAGGCGGCCAACUAAGUCGGAUGUGAAAUCCCCAGGCUUAACCUGGGAACUGCAUCCGAUACUGGAUGGCUUGAAUUCGGGAGAGGGAUGCAGAAUUCCAGGUGUAGCGGUGAAAUGCGUAGAUAUCUGGAGGAAUACCGGUGGCGAAGGCGGCAUCCUGGACCGACAUUGACGCUGAACGGCGAAAGCUAGGGGAGCAAACGGG